Long non-coding RNA from Betta splendens (Siamese fighting fish), 3124 nucleotides. RefSeq lists it as uncharacterized. Lineage: Eukaryota; Metazoa; Chordata; Actinopteri; Anabantiformes; Osphronemidae. The record is from RefSeq and is a predicted model, not a curated record. The transcript has 2 exons.
CCGGGUCCGCGUGGGCUCCGUGAGGACCAGCGGCUCUUGGAUGACCGAGGCGGGGUACUUCCUCCCCAGCAGCUCCACCUCCACCUUCUGGCCCACAGAGCACAGCUCCACAGGCAGCUAGUACCUCCGCUCCCCAGCCUCUGAAGCCUUUCUCCAGUCGGAGGGAAGACAUGGCGUAUGUGCCGAAGUCAUCAAUGCCCUCGUCCUUUCCUGCUUCCAUCAUAGCCUUGUACACAGCUGCCAUGUCCCUCUGGUCCAUGUACAGCUCCCAGCCGAGCUCACCUACACACACACACACACACACACACACACACACACACACACACACACACACACACACACACACACACACACACACACACACACACACACACACACACACACACACACACACACACACACACAGUCAUUUUCUUCAAUGCUCGCGGUUGAAGACGUCAUGAACUCAUCCAAAUCGCGUCUUGUACCAGUGUAGGAGAUCCUGAUGGCCCGGACAGUGGUUCCAGCCAGCUUCACGGUCUUGCAGUGGAGGAAUUUGAAUCCGGAUUCACUCAGAUCGUCGUCCGUCAGCUUCUGAAGAACCCGGCGGGAGUUUGGUCCAGCGAUGCCCAGCACGCCGACGUCAUCCGUUACGUUACUGAUGCCGACGUCGUAUCCCCCCUCCGCAGCUUCCGUCUCUAUCCACCUGCGUGGAGUCAAUGCACAUCUGCAACAUCUUCACUUGUUUAAACAUAAUGCUAAUUUGUGACAUUGUUGAAAUCUGCAGUCUGGGUCAGUCACCACUAGAGGUCGCCACACAGAAUCAAACCAUGAUGAAUCGCAGCGUUUUACAAAGGGGCACCAGAGAGAGAGACAUGUCUCUGCUCAUGCUUGUAUAUUACACUUGUGAAUGUUCAUUAAGGCACUAGGCUUGUUUUGAUGUGUUUCACCUGAGGUCAUGUAGCUCUGACCCUGAGCCCGUGAUGAGCAUGAACUCCCCUGGUGUCAGCUGAGUGACGGUGACCUCGGCGUAGACUCGCCCACUGGGUGUCAACAUGUGGCUUAUAUUAGUCCGGCCCACCUGGAACGCACCGGGCACAGGUCAGACAUGCAGUGAAGGCCUUCGGCUGCCGUCGCGACGCCUGAAACGUGGUGCACCUUGGGCAGGGUGUUGGCAAACAGCCGGUCCAGCAGCUUGUGGGAGUCCCUCCCCUUCACUAUGAACUUCCCAAAAGGCGUCAGGUCGAUCACUCCCACCUUCUCCAUCACCAGCCUGCACUCUCUGCCGACUGGUUCGAACCAGUUUGUCCGUCGGAAACUGGGCCUGAGCACAGCACAGUCAGCGUUUGCUUGGUACCAGAGGGUCGCUUUAAUGAGCAGGACUUUUAUUGGCCUGAUUCCCUUUCCAUUCGUAAUGCGUGAUUAGCGUCACUAAAGGAGACUGAACUAUAAUCAAUUCAAUUCAAAGCAGGUGUCAACAUCGCAGCCUCACUUGUACCCGAUGUCGUCUCCAGGUUUGUAGAACCAGUGAGGUUGUUCCCAGCCGGCGUGGAAGCCCAUGGAGGCUCUGUCCCUCAGCAGCUGGUGGAGGCCGCGGGCGCGGGCGGUCGGCCGGCCGGCGAAGCGCUCCUCCUUGGGGUACCCAACUGGAGGAGCGCACAGCGUGAGGACGGGGCGGCACCCACGCAAAGCGGCGCACGCACGCACGCCGGGACCCGCUUACCCACGUUGUUGAAGCCGUACGACUCGCGGGCCUUGGCGCACGCGAAGGGAACGUCCGUCCACGCGCCGUAGCGGUUGGGGUCGCACUCGAUGAGGUCGUACGGCGGCUCCCCGUUCCGAAUCCAGUCACUCAGGAACCUCCCGAUGCCGCCGGCAUGAAUGACUCCGUACCUGGAGAGCGAGGCUGCAGUUUAAGCUGUUACUGAACCAACCUCCUCAACAUCCACACACGCACCCAAAGCCAAUCGCGGUCCAGUAGUUGCGAGCGCCCUGGUGCGGUCCCACCAUUGGCAGCAGGUCGGGGGUGUAGGUGAUGGGACCACACACGAUGUUGAUGAUGUCGGCCUUCUUCAGCACAGGGACCAUGUCCAUGGCCAUCUCUACGUGCUCCAUUAUCCUGUCCAGGUCCGACUCAAACAGCUCCUUACCAAAACCUGCAGCAGGGACACAGGAGGCAGAGUCACCCAACGCCUAAGGGUGGAUUCAAGUGAGGCCAGCUUCGCUGCCGCCUGCCACACCUGGAGGAACUCCGUCUCUGACCCAGGAGUCCUGCAGCACCAUCUUCUCCAUCUUUUCAUACGGGCCGAACAGCAGGCCGUCCCGUUCCUGACGGAGGUAAUAGGACCCCUCCAGGUCCCGGAUGACAGCCAGCUCCUUCUUCAGGGCCUUCACCUCUGGCACCGUUGCCGUGACUACAUACUGGUGAUGCACUGGGAUGGUGGGGUGUUCAAACCCAAUCAUCUGGCCGACCUCCCGGGCCCAGAAACCUGGAAAAUGGCAGGGAAGGUGUCAAAACAAUUACUGUAAGUGACACCUUCUGUUCAUUGUUCUGCAUCACUUUAAAUGGUGCAGUCGUUACAGUUUCCACUACGAGUCUUCAGCAGCAACACUUGCUUUUACACUGGUCUUUGUUUUACUGGGCAUAAAAAUGUUUUUAUUUCUCUCUAUGGUCUCGCAAAAGCUAUAAUAGACUUAAUUUGUAUUAAGAAUAAUUGGAGCCAUAGAGACAUUCCUGUUCUACCGUUUGAGAGGAUAAUCAGACGUCUCUGAUAAAAAGUGGGUGCCUGCCGACAGCUGCAGGCAACGCAGUCAUUCCCACAAGCCGCUACUGCAGGUUGACAAUUAUAUAUCAACAUACUGUAACAGACAAUUAAUCUUUAACAGCCUUACGCAACUUUAAUUUACACUUUCUAAAAAGCAACCACUCGCUCGUGUCUGUACAAACAUCAUGUUUCCAUAAGUUCUUAUCAGGACUAAUAACCUGUACUGUUGCAUUGCAGUGGAAAUAUUUUGUUUGUCACAGGAGAAGCUCUGAUUACCAUGAACCAUAUGUUACUGAGAUAGACAGGUGGUUAUUACUGUACGUAUUAUAUGGCAGCACUUUGUAAAUAUCCGACAUGUUAUGAAAACCUGUCAAAAGCUA